CCGCUGAAAUCUCCGUAGACGGUAAGUGGACCUGUCAUGACGCAAGACACUUUAUUGCAAAUGGGAAAUAAUAUAUUUCUACAUCGUAUUGGAAAUGUUUCGAAAUAAUGAUUUAAAACAAAUAUGGUCUCUAUCACUGUGUGUGACUGACAGGGACAGCAGGAGAACCCUUCUAAACACACCGCAGCUAGUGUACUUACUCUUUAGCACUGCCAGCGGUGUGAUGUCACUCUGUUCAUACGAUGUGAUGAUGUCAUUAGAGAGGUGCAGCCUACUUAUGGCAGGGUUUGCAAGCAUUGGCAAACUGAGAAAGAG
This is a non-coding RNA of Pelobates cultripes (western spadefoot toad), 315 nucleotides long. Lineage: Eukaryota; Metazoa; Chordata; Amphibia; Anura; Pelobatidae. The record is from the annotation of a GenBank genome assembly.